AGAGGAGAACCAGUAUACAGUGUCACCUAAAAAUAACAUUAGGCAUUGAAGCUGGCAACUUUUCCAAGCCUAUAGAUUCCCUCCUGAGUGUUAAUUUAUCUGCCCCAAAUCUUACAUAAUACUCUUUGACAUUAUGCGUCUGCCAACCAUAUGAUCCCAGAAGAGACUUAAGAUGCUGCUGUCACCAGCAUAAGAAGCAUUAAAACACUUGUAAAUUUUCACUGUAAUCGUAAGCCUUCUUCUGUACAUUUCAUCCAACAUAUCUGAAGCAGCUUUUGCCUUUCCAAGUUUCCAGCAUGCAUAUGCUAGACUAGUGUGUGUAACACUGUCUCCCAAUAUGCCCUUCUCUUGCAUGAGCUUAAAUAUUCUUUGAGCACAAUCAACCUUUUCUCUUUUGCAAAAUCUCCUUAUUAGUGCACACUAUAAGGAUAUAUCAGCACAAAGACCUCUUCUUACAAACUCGUCUGGGAGUCUGAUAACCGUCUCCUCCUUGUGUUGAUCACAGUAACCAUCUACAAGCCACGAAUAAGUGUGCUAACUAGGAGAAAAUCCUGCUUCAAGCAUGCUAAAUAAAAGCUCUUUGGCACUGUCCAUCUCCUGAAUUUUGCAGAAUCCAUGGAUCAACGCUUUGUAAGUAAACUUAUCUAGCUUCAAACCAGCAUCCACCAUUUUGCUCUUCACUUUUAAAGCUGACAGUAAAUCCCCUAUCUUGCAAUAAGCAUUAAUCAAUGUGUUACAUGUGACAUUAUCCGGUUCAAUCUUCCUUUCAUUCAUCUCAUUGAGGAGCUUAUUUGCAUCUCUUAUCCUGCCUUCCUCAUAUAACUUACGCAGAAUUGAAUUGUAAGUACCAACUGUGGGAUACAGCCCAUGUGCUUCCAUAACUUCAAGCAAUCUCAAUGCUUCAUCAAUGUCAUUCACUCUACAAUACUCGUCAAUCAAGGUAGUGUAAGUCACAAAGUUAGGAGUAGCAUUUUUAAUUUCCCUAAAAAGCCUCAGUGCCUCUAUCAUUCUACCUUCUCUACAAAAACCAUAAAUAAGUGAAUUAUAAGUAACAAUAUCCGGGCUUAUUCGUCCCCUAUCCAUUCUAUCUUGAACGCACAAAAGCUUCAUAAUGCAUACCCUUUUUGCAAUACAAUGAAAUUAACGUAUUGUAUUGAAAAGAUGAGGAAGAACACAUUUCGAUUCCAUUUCACUUAGCAACUUCUCUGCUUUCUCCACAUCCCCGGAUUUACAACAAGCAUGAAUCAACACACUGUAGACAUGAAUAUUAGCUGCAACUCCAAUUCUAACCAUCUUCUUAUAAACUUUUCACACUAUAUCAGUAAGCCUAUCCUUGACCAAAGAAUUCAAUAGGACAUUACAAGAAAAUUUGCUCCCAUAUAUUUGAUGAUACCGCUACUAGAAAUGUAGAUAAAAAACAACGGAAGCUCAAGCAUUUAUUUUAAAUAUGUGUAAAAUAUAUUUUAAAAUUAUCUUGAGAUGCAUUAAAGGAUGCUCACAUUUAAACCCAAACUUGAGAUAUUUCGAAUUUGAAUGCAAUUUAAAUGAAUUAUAAAAAAGAAAAUUUGAUUAUAUUCAGGACAAGUAUUGGAAAACCCAAUUAUUCUACAAGAUGGUUUCUUAUCACUUCUCAUCCUAAUCACCAACAAAAUGCAAGAUCAUGCUUCAUUCAUCGACAUAUUCUAAAUAAUACUUUGAUUCUGUGGCAUUUUUUUAGGAUUUUUUUUUUAAAAAAAUCAACAUAAACAAUGAAAUAACAAGCAUACUCAUAAAAUGAAUCGAAAGAACACUCAUAAAUUGAAGUGGAUGAAAAUAGAGAAAUUUCUGCAAUGCCGUAGGCAAAAGCAAAAAAAUUAUAACCACAAGAUGCUAAAAUAUUAGAAAUGCUCUUUGAUAGCAAAUACCUCCUCAAAUACAUGAAAGAUGGCAUUCCUCAGGUGCAGUGAAGAUACAGUCAAAGUCUUGCGGCAAACUAAUUAUCAGCAAAGCCUACUCUAAAUCAAAUGGUAACACAACUCAUGGUGGCCAGUCUCCUCUUUGAUGCAUAAAGCAGAGAACAACCUGCUUCAAAGUUCAUGUACAAAACUCCUCGUAUUAAUGAGUGGAAGCAGUUGCAGCAGUACUACCAAGCCCCAUCUUCUGCCCCAAGAGUGUGAGCUGCUCAACAAACUCUGCUCCAGUGAGAAUUUCUGUUGUUCCAUAGAUAAUAUGCUUGACAGGCUGCUGGCGCUGUGCAAGCUCUUGCAAGCCCCCAUACUCCAUAUAAUUACCGCCACCAAUCAUGAACACCAUGGCUUCUUUAAAUGGCCCUUUGAGAUGGCUACUACCAGCCCCUGACUUAGGAGAACGAGGAUCAAACACAAGGUAAGAGUCGAUUUCAGGAUUAGGUUUCCCUUCCAUCAAAGCUUCCACAAUCCUUGUUAAAGCAAGCUGCCUAUCGCUAGAUAAUAAGUUCUUAACACCAGCUGUCACAGCACUAAUUGACUGUCCAUAAAGCUUUUCGGCCCAAUCUACAAUAUGACUCCUACUUGCAGAAUUUGCUGAUGCUAAUGAAACAUUCAAGGACUUGAUUUUCUUCACAUACUGGAAUGCACAAGUAUCAACCUCAGACUCCCGAAGAGCUGCUUCCACUGAUUCAACUUCUGACUGGUUAAGGCUAUCGGAGGAUAUAAGGUAAAUGAUUGCAAAUCUCAGCUUAUCCAUCUUGGACCCCUUCCCUUUAAGCACACCCAAAAGUUCAUUACGAUCAAUCCCACCUCUGACCAUCAUGUCAUUCUCCUUUUUCGCAUAUGAAUCAAGAGACCUCUCCUUGAUCUCACCCAAUAACACAGUUGCAAUGUUUGUGUGCUUAUCAAUCACCUGCUUCCGCUCUGUCAACUCAGGCAGUGAGUUCACUGCAUUCAUCAAAUGUUUAGUAUUACCAAUCAGGUCUGUUCCAUCAAAUUCUGUCCCAUCCGUUCCACCAGUCCUCCUGUUCACCUCAUCAACAUCCUUCUUGUACUUAUUCAAUUGUGUCUCAAUCUCCACAGCAACUUCAGGAAAUUCCAGAGACCCAUUUGCAACCCAGAAAGGGUCUGAACUAUCCAACUCAUAUGACUUCAUCCCUCCCUUUUCCCCCUGCACGCUCAACCUAUUCAGCUUCAGUCCAAGCACAUCAUGAACAAGGGGGCGAUACCUAAAGUCAUGCUGUAUCCCAACUGCCAACUCAAAAUUCCUAUCAAAUAUACACAAAAUGGGCCUCUGAAAUGAGCUCAUAAAACCACCACCUUCUGAGAACAGGUUAUUCUUUGAUAACAAAUGAUCCCUCAAUCUCUGAUCCAAUGCUGAUGCCACCAUCUCUGCUGGCCCUCCCCGUGGGCACCUGAUAACGGGGACAACAGCCAGGGUUGCCAGCACACAAAACAAACCACUAACAAUCUUCUCAACUAUCUCCUCAAUCUCCCUAUCCCCAGCAGACGGAUCAUUUAAUUGAACAUAGCUAGAUUUCUGGGCUAAUGAAAACAAAUUAUCCUCCAAAGUCACAAACUCCAAAUAUUGAUCAUGCACCUUGGAAAUCCUCUGUAUAGAAUCCGAAUUCAGGGUCCCAGAUGCAAGAUCCUCAAGAAGUGGACGAGGGAUCGAAGAUGAAAAAUUCAGGUGGAAGCUAUCAUAAACCGAGCGAGUUGCAUCAGAAAUAAUUCUUUGAAUGUUGGUUUGACUUGGUUGAACAAAGUACACAGCUGGGACAUCAUGAACGGGUUUCCGAUCCUUAUCAAUAAGGAAAUAGAGAGUAACCCCAUGCUUGCGCAGAUCCUUGACAUGAAUCAACGGGGAUAAGAUAUUUUGGCAAAAUCUGUCAUAAAUCAAGAUCUUGUACACCUCUUCAUUGGCAGUACCAGUUGCAUUUACAGGUUGAUUUAGGUUUAGCAUCCGGAUUAUACAUUCUACAUUCAAAAUAAACAGAUCAAAAUAACAAACUAUCAGUUCAUUCAAUUCGUAGAAGAACAAGGAUCAACGUCGGUGAUUAUACAAGAAAAUUGAGAAAAGAACCGACUACCAGCGUUUAAGCUUGAAGGAAGAAUGAGAAUCUAGAGCAAAGAAAAAUUACCGGUUUGUUUUUGACGGAGGUUGAGAGCCAUGACCGUGAAAACUCUGAUCUUUGUUGCCGCUCGCUAAGCCAAGUAUUUCUUCCAAAGCUCGGUGCAAGGAUUGAGAGUUGUUUCUGCUUGCUUCAGUAGCGGUGGACGUGGUGCUGUCUAGAGGAGAAGAGGCCUAAAACGCCCACUCAACUUGGCAAUAAUUGCAGCCCAUGGGCUGAAAUAGUUUGGUAAUUUCAUGAAGGCCAAGCCCAUUAACAUUUUUAUUUUUUUUUAUUUUUAUGAAAUAUGAUUGAUUGAUUAUCUCCAUUAUAUAUCAUUUUAAUUUUGUAAGAUAUUGUAAUAACAAUUCAUUAUUUUAUUUCCAAACUAACAAAUCCGGAUUUUCUAAAUUGAAAUCUUAACUUAAAAGAAAAUUGUUAAUUAAAGCCUUACAUUUGGAAUUUUCCUUGUUAAUUAGGUAUUUUUUUAUUUAAAGAUAAUCAUUAAACUUUUCCUUUUUCUUCUUUCCAUAUAAUAAUAAACCUCCAGCUUUCUCGGUGUUAACGGAAACAAUACAAUGAGAAAUUAUUUUAUUAUUUUUUAUAAUUUAUUGUUAAUUUAAUAAAUCAAUCAAUGUAUUAAAAAAUUUGAUAACUUGGACAACCAUGUGAAGCAAAAACGGUGAUAUCUCAAAGUCAUCUAAGACUCUGUUAUAAUAUCAUUCUGGUAGCGUGUUCAUGAGUACCAUAUAAUUUCUUCACUGUUCAUUUACAAACUCUUUUUGCAACAAGACAUGGCACAUCUUAACUUCAUCUGUUUAGCUUUAGAAGGUAACAGUUUCAUCACUCUUUAUUUAUCUAUUUUCCAAUUUUAAUUUAACAAAGUAUACUUUUGCACUCCAGACAUUGAAGGUUUAUUACACAUGCCUAUCGGUUGAAGAAAAGCUAGUGGUGCUACAAGUGCUCCAAAUCCAUGGUUCAAAUUUAUUUUAUUGCUAGCAUAACCAGUGUAUAUUUUUUAAGGCAAAUUUAUUGAAGCCCAAAGUGCUCACUUCCCACUAUGUGCUAGUUUACACUCACCACUUCAAGAUCACGAUGCUACCAGUUCUCCACGAAAAAGGGAUAUGUGCCCAGAACUGUGCAUUAGUUUGCAUCAUGAUUUGAAAUCUCACAUUCUCAUCAGAACCUUUUCCAGUUGAAUUCCAGCUAAGCCUUAUACAUAUCCGCUCAUCAACAAAGAGUAUUGGCAAAGAGAAGUCGCAAUGCAUUAGCAAGAAGACAGCUGCUUUAUGUUUACAAUGAACUCCACAUUUUGGCCAUGAACAGACGUGAUUCAUGCCGCUAUCUAUGUCUUCUGGACAUUAAAAACACUUACACAAAUCUAUACAUCAAGUUUCUCCUUACAGUUUUGGUUCUCUAGAACUUUAUUGUAUGGUCAGGAAGAAUAUAGUUGCAAUCAUCUUCUUCUUAGUCCAAUCAACAUCUGACAUCUCAUGCUGAGAGAAGAACCAGUAUACAGUAUCACCUAAAAAUAACAUUAGGCAUUGAAGCUGGCAACUUGUCCAGGCCUUAGAUUCCCUCAUGAGUGUUAAUUUAUCUGCUCCAAAUCUUUUAAUAUACUCUUUGACAUUAAGCGUCUGCCAACCAUAUGAUCCCAGAAGAGACUUAAGAUGCUGCUGUCACCAGCAUAAGAAGCAUUAAAACACUUGUAAAU
This 5771-nucleotide long non-coding RNA is filed under the name Manihot esculenta (cassava). RNAcentral's name for it is "long non-coding RNA (MESC_LNC000811)". Lineage: Eukaryota; Viridiplantae; Streptophyta; Magnoliopsida; Malpighiales; Euphorbiaceae. The record is from RNAcentral.